AGAGUGAAAAGUACGUGAAAUUGUUGAAAGGGAAACGAUUGAAGUCAGUCGUACAGUCGGAAAUCAACCUUUUGAGCGUGGAUUCGUGGGAUUCAAAGAAGCCUUUUGUUCUCGCGGUAUUUGCGUUUUUUUGGCGUACUUUCCUGUAUUGUAGGUCAGCGUCGGUUUCGAUCGUUAUAAAAUGAUCGGAGGAAUGUAGCUUCGACUUCAGUCUGAAGUGUUAUAGACUUCGGUAUAUGUAACGGUCUGGAUCGAGGAUUGCAACGGAUACCCAAAUGGGCUACCCGUCUGAUCUCUGAUUCGUAACUCUGGCUUCGAAAGCUUUGCUUACGGUGUUAGAGUUUCGGUCAAAAGGUUAGAACGGGUUAAAUUCGUUAAGGAUGUUGACGUAAUGGCUUUAACCGA
This 405-nucleotide unclassified non-coding RNA is filed under the name uncultured Glomeromycotina. Its description in RNAcentral is "sequence contains 28S rRNA gene". Lineage: Eukaryota; Fungi; Glomeromycota. The record is from RNAcentral.